UUUUAUAAGAAAUAAUUUAUAAUAAAAUCUGCUCAAUGAAAAUUAAAUAGCCGCAAUUUGUGCUAAGGUAGCAUAAUCAUUUGUCUUUUAAAUAAAGACCAGAACAAAAGAUUUAACAUCUCGUCAAAUCUCCUUAUUUUAAAAACUUUUAAUUUUUAUUAAAUGUAAAAAUACACUUAUAAAAAAGAAAGACGAUAAGACCCUUUUGAACUUAACUUUAGUUAAACUGGGGCAGUUAAUUAAUUAUUAUUUUAAUAACUUUAUUAAAAUCAAAAUCUAUUAAAAAUAAUAAUUCAGUUACCAUAGGGAUAACAGCAUAAUUAUAUUUAAAAGCUCUUAUACAAAAUAUAACUUAUGACCUCGAUGUUGAAUAAUUACCUAACUAAAGCAAAAUUUAAUAAAGGAGGUCUGUUCGACCUUUAAAAAAUCACA
RNAcentral lists this ribosomal RNA (432 nucleotides) under Ligurra latidens. Its description in RNAcentral is "partial 16S ribosomal RNA". The record is from RNAcentral. Lineage: Eukaryota; Metazoa; Arthropoda; Arachnida; Araneae; Salticidae.